GGGGAUGUAGCUCAGUGGUAGAGCAUGUGCUUCGCAUGUACAAGGUCCUGGGAUCAAUCCCCAGCAUCUCCA
Non-coding RNA from Larimichthys crocea (large yellow croaker), 72 nucleotides. The record is from Rfam. NCBI's taxonomy places the organism in Eukaryota, Metazoa, Chordata, Actinopteri, Sciaenidae.